This 301-nucleotide ribosomal RNA is filed under the name uncultured bacterium. RNAcentral's name for it is "partial 16S ribosomal RNA". It matches the Rfam family "Bacterial small subunit ribosomal RNA", at positions 509 to 809 of the family's 1533-position model. The record is from RNAcentral.
CAGUCGCCGCGGGAAUACAGAGGGUGCAAGCGUUACUCGGAAUUACUGGGCGUAAAGCGUGCGUAGGUGGUUGUUUAAGUCUGCUGUGAAAGCCCUGGGCUCAACCUGGGAAUUGCAGUGGAUACUGGGCGACUAGAGUAAGGUAGAGGAUAGUGGAAUUUCCGGUGUAGCAGUGAAAUGCGUAGAGAUCGGAAGGAACAUCUGUGGCGAAGGCGACUAUCUGGGCCAUUACUGACACUGAGGCACGAAAGCGUGGGGAGCAAACAGGAUUAGAUACCCCAGUAGUCCCUGUCUCUUAUAA